RNAcentral lists this ribosomal RNA (493 nucleotides) under uncultured bacterium. Its description in RNAcentral is "partial 16S ribosomal RNA". It matches the Rfam family "Bacterial small subunit ribosomal RNA", at positions 30 to 523 of the family's 1533-position model. The record is from RNAcentral.
AUUGAACGCUGGCGGCAUGCCUUACACAUGCAAGUCGAACGGUAACAGGUUAAGCUGACGAGUGGCGAACGGGUGAGUAAUAUAUCGGAACGUGCCCAGUCGUGGGGGAUAACUGCUCGAAAGAGCAGCUAAUACCGCAUACGACCUGAGGGUGAAAGCGGGGGAUCGCAAGACCUCGCGCGAUUGGAGCGGCCGAUAUCAGAUUAGGUAGUUGCUGGGGUAAAGGCCCACCAAGCCAACGAUCUGUAGCUGGUCUGAGAGGACGACCAGCCACACUGGGACUGAGACACGGCCCAGACUCCUACGGGAGGCAGCAGUGGGGAAUUUUGGACAAUGGGCGCAAGCCUGAUCCAGCCAUGCCGCGUGCGGGAAGAAGGCCUUCGGGUUGUAAACCGCUUUUGUCAGGGAAGAAAAGGUUCUGGUUAAUACCUGGGACUCAUGACGGUACCUGAAGAAUAAGCACCGGCUAACUACGUGCCAGCAGCCGCGGUAA